GUGGGGAAUCUUGCGCAAUGGGCGAAAGCCUGACGCAGCCAUGCCGCGGGAAUGAUGAAGGUAUUAGGAUUGUAAAAUUCUUUCACCGGGGACGAUAAUGACGGUACCCGGAGAAGAAGCUCCGGCUAACUUAGUGCCAGCAGGCGCGGUAAUACGAAGGGGGCUAGCGUUGCUCGGAAUUACUGGGCGGAAAGGGCGCGGAGGCGGACAGCGUAGUCAGAGGUGAAAGCCCAGGGCUCAACCUUGGAAUUGCCUUUGAUACUGGCUGUCUUGAGUUUGGGGGAUGUGAGUGGAACUCCGAGUGUAGAGGUGAAAUUCGUAGAUAUUCGGAAGAACACCAGUGGCGAAGGCGACUCACUGGCCCAAUACUGACGCUGAGGCGCGAGAGCGUGGGGAGCAAACAGGAUUAGAUACCCGGGUAGUCC
RNAcentral lists this ribosomal RNA (425 nucleotides) under uncultured bacterium. RNAcentral describes it as "partial 16S ribosomal RNA". It matches the Rfam family "Bacterial small subunit ribosomal RNA", at positions 354 to 796 of the family's 1533-position model. The record is from RNAcentral.